AGGUUUUGCAUGCUGUUGAUAAGAGUUUAAAAAUGUUUCCUGCUUGUUUUAUUUCCAGUGUAGUUUGAUGUAUUUCAGCUCUUUCUGUACGAUGAUUCUCUCUGUGCUGAUAUGCAUGAGAGGCUUCUUAAAGGGAAGUGAAACAAUGUGUGAGUGAGUGAAGCAGAGAAACCAUCUGACAGAAACUCCUUAAAGGAGAAGAUCAACUCUCACACAGGAAAGGUGUCCAAGUGUCUGCUGGUUGAUUGACAGCUGUGUGGUCCCGCCCUCCUCUAAUCUGAUUGGUGUCUCCUAGGUGAUGCCCGUCCCACCCUGACGGUGCUGCCCCCCUCCAGGGAGCAGCUGCAGCAGGGGACGGCCACGCUCAUGUGCCUGGCCAACAAGGGCUUCCCCUCAGACUGGAGUCUGUCCUGGAAGGUGGACGGCAGCAGCAGCAGCAGCAGCUGGGAGCAGAGCAGCAGCCCCGGGGUGCUGGAGAAGGACGGCCACUACAGCUGGAGCAGCACCCUGAGGCUCUCUGCAGACCAGUGGAGGAAGGUGGGCUCUGUGACCUGUGAGGCCACCCAGGGCUCCCAGACUCCGCUCUCAGAGACUCUGAGGAGAGACCAGUGUUCCCAGUCCUGAUCUGACUGACUGCUUUUACUCUGCUACUGCUCUCAGUCU
Centropristis striata (black sea bass) is the source of this 663-nucleotide non-coding RNA. The record is from the annotation of a RefSeq genome assembly. NCBI's taxonomy places the organism in Eukaryota, Metazoa, Chordata, Actinopteri, Perciformes, Serranidae.